This 520-nucleotide ribosomal RNA is filed under the name uncultured bacterium. Its description in RNAcentral is "bacterial SSU rRNA". It matches the Rfam family "Bacterial small subunit ribosomal RNA", at positions 355 to 891 of the family's 1533-position model. The record is from RNAcentral.
UGGGGAAUAUUGGACAAUGGGGGCAACCCUGAUCCAGCAAUGCCGCGUGGGUGAUGAAGGCCUUCGGGUUGUAAAGCCCUUUCGGCGGGGACGAUGAUGACGGUACCCGCAGAAGAAGCCCCGGCUAACUUCGUGCCAGCAGCCGCGGUAAUACGAAGGGGGCGAGCGUUGUUCGGAAUUACUGGGCGUAAAGGGCGCGCAGGCGGCGCCAGAAGUCAGAUGUGAAAGCCCCGGGGCUCAACCUGGGAAUUGCAUUUGAUACUCUGGUGCUUGAGUUCGGGAGAGGAGAGUGGAAUUCCCAGUGUAGAGGUGAAAUUCGUAGAUAUUGGGAAGAACACCGGUGGCGAAGGCGGCUCUCUGGACCGAUACUGACGCUGAGGCGCGAAAGCGUGGGGAGCAAACAGGAUUAGAUACCCUGGUAGUCCACGCUGUAAACGAUGUGUGCUAGACGUUGGGAGGCCUAGCCUCUCGGUGUCGCCGCUAACGCUUUAAGCACACCGCCUGGGGAGUACGGCCGCAA